Molecule: transfer RNA, 69 nt
Filed under: Marmota marmota marmota (Alpine marmot)
Lineage: Eukaryota; Metazoa; Chordata; Mammalia; Rodentia; Sciuridae
Also listed under: 1 other name
Source: Rfam by way of RNAcentral
GUUGUGGGCUUAGUGGUGGAGCACUUGCCUAGCAUGCAUGAGGCACUGUGUUCAAUUCCCAGCACCACA